Long non-coding RNA from Phyllostomus hastatus (greater spear-nosed bat), 2173 nucleotides. RefSeq lists it as uncharacterized. The record is from RefSeq and is a predicted model, not a curated record. NCBI's taxonomy places the organism in Eukaryota, Metazoa, Chordata, Mammalia, Chiroptera, Phyllostomidae. The transcript has 3 exons.
CAGCUUGUCACUUUUCUUCUCCCUUUUUGUUUUCUAUUUUUACUUUUAUUCAAAUGCCAGGAAAACCAGCUGAUUGAAGAAGUCAUGCGGUGCUUCACACGUUUGUUACAGAGGUGCUGUGAGUGAAAAGCUUAACUAAUUUUCGAGGCUGCCAGGGCUGAAUAUCAGACAGGAGGGCAGUGCCCUGAAAGCAGUGGCUGGGCAGGUGAGAACGCAGAGCUUGAUCACGCUUUGCUGUGCCUCGGACACGAGGCCGAGCAUCCUGCAUGUGAUAAUCUCUCCGGGCUGCUGGCAAAGACAGCCAGGUGCUACUAGGAAGGACAGGUGCUCAUGUGAGACUUCCCGAAGAUUGGAGCUAUACUAACAUGGAUAUUUCCCAUAUCCAGAUGAUAAAUGCAUUUGUAGUCCUAACAGACUGAUUUUAAUGGAAUCCUCAUGAACUAUAUGGCAUCUUCUACUCUGGUACUGCCAUCUUCUUUCCUUCAAGUCCCUGUCAAAGAGAUGCCUGAAUGACUGACACUGAUAAAGUGAAAGAACAUUUUAGAAGGAAAAAAGAAGAUAUGUAAAUCUGUCUUAUAACAUCAACACACUUCACCAUGCUUGCAGACUCUUCAUAAAUCAGAUUUGAUAAUGAGGACUGAAGGCACAUGCAAUGUGAGAAGAAAGUGUGAAGUUCAUGUCUGAGAACUGAAGUGUUCUGAUAAUAAACUGAAAAUUCCUGGGUUAAUCAGAAGCUACUUUUUAAGUCUGGGUACAACUGGAGAUGCAAGGCUCAUAUCUGUCUCUUUGCAUUUGGCAUAUUUUCAAAGCUCUGAAAGUGUUUAAUGUUCCUAUUUAUAAAAUUAUUCUGAAAGUAACAGAAUUUCAGAACUAAAUACAAACUAUUAUAUGGCCCCUGGAGUAUCAUUUCAAUAAAUCAUUAGCAAAUAAUAAAAAUGCCAUGUAAUAUGCACAUACCUUUAGACAUUAAAGUUGAAUAUGCCUUUGCAUUUGUGCCUAGUUAGAAACACCAUGCUGUGGGGAAAAAGUCUGGGGAAAAAAUGAACAUUGUUUUUUUUUAAUGUUAUUUCAUUUCCCAUUACAUAGUUGCCCCACUUGCCUGUCUUUCUACCACCUGAAAACCAAAUGGAUAUUCUGGGCUAGGUUAAGUUGCAAAUGAAUUUCAUAAUCUUACACUGGAGGAGUUUCUUUGUACCAAAACUGAAGAAAUUGAGCCAGGGAAUUGAUAAGAACUUUCCAAGGUACAAUAAAUUAAUACUUUGGCUCUCUGCCUCUGUAGAGCUACAUUUGAAUCUUAAUUGCUAGUGGUCCAAGUACAGGAAAUUUUAUCAGGUCUAGCCUAGUGUAUACAGUUGCUUUAGCAUUAGGCAAUUAGAGGUACACAUGACUUUUCUUGACCAAGUCAAAGGAUAGCAAUAGGAAAGCAAAGGUUGUGAAGGAUGAGCACUACCAGUAAUGACAGAAGGACAGUGGAGUGGAAUUUUAUACUGUGCAUGCACUUCAUAUUUAUAGAGCAUUUUUUCAUUCCAACAUCUCAAAACGAUUUUAAGAGUACUUAGUUGCAAGGAGGUUAUGUUCCUGAUAAAGACAUCAGAAUGCCAACCUGCUAGGUUCAUAACUAACCCAAGGUCAUUUAUACAUGGAUAUAAAGAUCUAUGGCAUGGAAUUAUAACUUUUUAACUCUCCAGGUCAAAUUAGUUAAAACCUUGCAUUCUGAUCUCUAUACUCUCUGAACUUUGUCUUUUCUCAGUGAGAGAACCAGGGAGGGGUGGAAGUAGAACUCGCAUCUGGAGUCUUUCCUGGACAUCAACAGAGGCCUUGAGAGCUGGGGGUCAAAGGGAUUAUCUGGGGCCAUUUCUUCUUUUUUUAAAAAAUAUUUAAACCAUGUGAUGUGUUGAUAUUUAUUAGGAUAACAUUUGAUAUGGAGAAACACUCUUAAAUAAUACACUUUGACUUUAAUUGUAUUAUUAAAAAUUGGGGCUGGAAUGCUCUUUCUGACUAUUAGCCCUACUAGGAAGUUCAGCUCAAUAUUCAAUUUAAAAUUAAAGUUUCAGACCUGUGCACAAUGCUAAGCCCAUAAUAGUGAUGCAAAAUAAAUUUAUUCGAUACAAUGAUGUAGCAAGUUGAAUACAUUAUUAAUGCAAACUUCUCCAUAACAUCCCAUUUAUGCCAA